AGUUCAAUGGUAGAACCCCAGCCUUCCAAGCUGAUGACGCGGGUUCGAUUCCCGUC
This 56-nucleotide transfer RNA is filed under the name Hydrogenophaga sp. Its description in RNAcentral is "tRNA-Gly". It matches the Rfam family "tRNA", at positions 9 to 63 of the family's 71-position model. From Rfam's summary of the family: Transfer RNA (tRNA) molecules are approximately 80 nucleotides in length. Their secondary structure includes four short double-helical elements and three loops (D, anti-codon, and T loops). Further hydrogen bonds mediate the characteristic L-shaped molecular structure. tRNAs have two regions of fundamental functional importance: the anti-codon, which is responsible for specific mRNA codon recognition, and the 3' end, to which the tRNAs corresponding amino acid is attached (by aminoacyl-tRNA synthetases). tRNAs cope with the degeneracy of the genetic code in two manners: having more than one tRNA (with a specific anti-codon) for a particular amino acid; and 'wobble' base-pairing, i.e. permitting non-standard base-pairing at the 3rd anti-codon position. The record is from RNAcentral. Lineage: Bacteria; Pseudomonadati; Pseudomonadota; Betaproteobacteria; Burkholderiales; Comamonadaceae.